GAACAAGGAGGACAUGGAUGGAAAUGAUCUCAAACCUCUAUGGAUUUCAGGUAUGGCAGAUUUCACCUGUCACACUACCAUGUGAGUGGAGGUGGCCUUCUUUGAUUAGCAGCCUAUGUCUUUAAAACUGAGACUGAGGUGGUACAGGAGAGGAAGAGGACUAUGC
Molecule: non-coding RNA, 166 nt
Organism: Phascolarctos cinereus (koala)
Lineage: Eukaryota; Metazoa; Chordata; Mammalia; Diprotodontia; Phascolarctidae
Source: RefSeq, a predicted model, not a curated record